Molecule: long non-coding RNA, 984 nt
Filed under: Brassica rapa (field mustard)
Lineage: Eukaryota; Viridiplantae; Streptophyta; Magnoliopsida; Brassicales; Brassicaceae
Description: long non-coding RNA (BRAP_LNC000520)
Source: RNAcentral
UGGGCUGCUGUGUUUCUAGUAUCUAAUAUUAUAAAGAAGAGUUUCUCUCUUUCCUCAUUCCGCCACGUCAUCAAUUGGGUACAGGAGAGCGCGACACGUGUCCACUUCUUCAAAAACUCACCAUUUCAUUUAAAGUGUGGGCUGCUGUGUUUCAGUUACGUGUUUUUAUUAUUUAGUGGGUCUUAGAAUUUUACUCAUAUAAUUCAGCCCAAAGACAGCUAGACCAGCCGAAAGAAUUUUAGGGUUUCGUGUUCUUUUCCAUAAUUAAUCGACGAGUCUUCUUCGGAAAGUAUUCUUAUAUGUCCCAAUUAGAAAAAAACUUAUUCUCAUUACCCCCACUCUUUUUCUAACUAUCCCAUCUUUCUUCUUCUUCUUCCCCUCUUACCCCUUCUUUUUAUAUUAGUUUCCAUUAAAUUUGUGGAUCCCACUUUCCUUUUCUUUUUUUAUAUUAUUAAAACAGUUUGCAGACCCUACCAUUUUUUUAGUUAUAAAAACAGCUCCGUCCUUUUUUCAAUUUUUUUUAUUUUGUUUUCAAAUACCAUGGGGCCCACCAUUAUUUUUUAAUUCUUUAAUUUUUUAUCUGUACUCUUGUACGACCAGAUUUUUUUCUUUUUUUUUCAAAUUUGUGUUUUAAUUAUUAAUGAUCAAUAUAACUAAAUAUUAUAGAAGCCAAAAAAAAUUCUGUUUAUCUUAACAUAAUAUUUUUACAUAAGUAAAUUAACAAAAAAAAUUAUUUCAAUUUUAUUUUAAUCAACAAUUAAUUUUAAAAAUAAAUUUAAUAAAAUACACAUAUAAACUAAUUUCUCUAACCUAAAAUUUAUCUCUUUUAUAUAAAGUGAUCAAACUUAAAAUAAGAUAUUUUAUUUUAAUAAACAACUAAUUUUAAAAUUAUUUAUAUAAAUUAUUUCAAAAACAUUUCAUUUUUUUAAUAAAAUACGAUUUCAAUAAUAUUUUAAUUAAAUAAUAUCAAAUAAAUUUAUAAAC